AUGCAACUUUUUUUUAAAAAAAUAAUGUUCUCCUGUGUAUUAAUUUUGAGUAUUAUUAAUGUCUUCUUUAAUAUAUUUUAUCAACUUAUAUAGAAUCAAAUAUAUUUUAUAUUAUGUUAUGUAUAAUUAACGAAUGACACCUUAUGACAUGGAGCAACUUCAGCUUAUCGAAGACAUGAUCUUAGAUAGAAAGUUGUGGAGGAGGCGGAUUAGGGUAGAAGGUUAGUACAAGUUUAGGUUGUUGUUUCUUUUGUUGUAUUACUUGGUGUCUCUUGAUUAUGGUAUUAGCGGAUAUUGUUGAUUUCGAUUGUAUCUUGUUCUCUUACUAUUCUUUGUACAGAUUAUUUUAUUGUGAGCCGGGGGUCUGUCGGAAACAAUCUUUUUAUCUUACAUCUGAGAUAGUGAUACGGACUGCGUACAUUUAUCCUCUCUAUACUCCACUUGGUGGAAAUAUACUGGCUCAAUUCCAAGAUCAACAACACUGUUUGGAUCUUCAAAUUUGUUAGCGAAUUUGGUGAAUUUGGUGUUCAAAUGGAAAGACUGAUCAAUAAUAUCUUGUAUGGCCCCUCACUUCAUCCAUUUUCAUAAGCAAUAAAGAGAUGAUACUUAAUGGAUCUUUUCUGUUCUUGAAUUUAGAGUCAAAAGUUUCGUAGAUGGGGAAUAAAUAUAUAUUUUUAACUAACAUCAAUAUAGGUCUAUUGAUACAAGCCGAAUUGACUCCACUUUUUUGGGGUCUAUGCUUCAAGGAUCACACGUAAGGAUCCAAGACUUGAUCGUUCUAGGGAGCAUAUACGUGAUUGGAGGAUAGCUUGAGAAGGAGCUACAUUUGAUGAUGUCAUUCGAGGGAGUAAGGAUCACAUUUGGAUAAUAGCUUGGACCUCAAAGAGCUUAGAAAUGUGACUAUUUGGACUUUUGGGUCACUUUUGAGCCCAUAAUCGUGAAUAUUUGAUUUUUGGAUCACUUUUGGACCCAAUUAGCAUUUAGGGCCACUUUUGAGCCCAGUUGUAAUAAAUGGCCUUGGCCAAUAAAUAGCUAGGACUCUUUUCAUUUUUAGGAAGAUGAUUUUGAAUGAAUGUAUACACUUGAGAGUGU
Molecule: long non-coding RNA, 1092 nt
Organism: Capsicum annuum
Lineage: Eukaryota; Viridiplantae; Streptophyta; Magnoliopsida; Solanales; Solanaceae
Exons: 2
Source: RefSeq, a predicted model, not a curated record